RNAcentral lists this ribosomal RNA (305 nucleotides) under uncultured bacterium. Its description in RNAcentral is "bacterial SSU rRNA". It matches the Rfam family "Bacterial small subunit ribosomal RNA", at positions 335 to 638 of the family's 1533-position model. The record is from RNAcentral.
UUUCCUACGGGGGGCAGCAGUGAGGAAUAUUGGUCAAUGGGCGCGAGCCUGAACCAGCCAAGUCGCGUGAGGGAAGACGGUCCUAUGGAUUGUAAACCUCUUUUGUCGGGGAGCAAAAGACGCCACGUGUGGCGUUCCGAGAGUACCCGAAGAAAAAGCAUCGGCUAACUCCGUGCCAGCAGCCGCGGUAAUACGGAGGAUGCGAGCGUUAUCCGGAUUUAUUGGGUUUAAAGGGUGCGCAGGCGGAGGUGCAAGUCAGCGGUCAAAUUGCGGGGCUCAACCCCGUACUGCCGUUGAAACUGCAU